CCUACGGGAGGCAGCAGUGAGGAAUAUUGGUCAAUGGGCGCGAGCCUGAACCAGCCAAGUAGCGUGAAGGAUGACUGCCCUACGGGUUGUAAACUUCUUUUAUAAAGGAAUAAAGUGAGGCACGUGUGCCUUUUUGUAUGUACUUUAUGAAUAAGGAUCGGCUAACUCCGUGCCAGCAGCCGCGGUAAUACGGAGGAUCCGAGCGUUUUCCGGAUUUAUUGGGUUUAAAGGGAGCGUAGAUGGGUUGUUAAGUCAGUUGUGAAAGUUUGCGGCUCAACCGUAAAAUUGCAAUUGAUACUGGCAGCCUUGAGUGCGGUUGAGGUAGGCGGAAUGCGUGGUGUAGCGGUGAAAUGCUUAGAUAUCACGAAGAACUCCGAUUGCGAAGGCAGCUUACUAAACUGCCACUGACAUUGAGGCUCGAAAGUGUGGGUAUCAAACAGGAUUAGAUACCCUAGUAGUC
RNAcentral lists this ribosomal RNA (460 nucleotides) under uncultured bacterium. RNAcentral's name for it is "partial 16S ribosomal RNA". It matches the Rfam family "Bacterial small subunit ribosomal RNA", at positions 338 to 795 of the family's 1533-position model. The record is from RNAcentral.